Molecule: long non-coding RNA, 267 nt
Organism: Triticum aestivum (bread wheat)
Lineage: Eukaryota; Viridiplantae; Streptophyta; Magnoliopsida; Poales; Poaceae
Exons: 2
Source: RefSeq, a predicted model, not a curated record
AAGCUCUUGUGACGACUCAAGGGGGGAACUUCCCUCACUUUUUGAUGGGACACAGGCGUUACCUGUUAGGAGGGAAUGCAAAGACAAUAAAACCCGACAAACGGAAGUUGGUCUUAUCUUUUGACGACCCAAAUAUCAGAUGGAGUCGAUUCAAGCACCACAUGUUGGAAAUACUGCACCAUAGUGACAUAAGGGGCAUCGCAUUCAGGAAACCUAAUGAUUCCAUAUACACCUUCCCAAUGCCUGAUUGCAUGUGCCAACAAGAUG